This is a non-coding RNA of Pseudonaja textilis, 2138 nucleotides long. The record is from RefSeq and is a predicted model, not a curated record. Lineage: Eukaryota; Metazoa; Chordata; Lepidosauria; Squamata; Elapidae.
AUGUUCAUGAUGUCUAAAAGGAUUUAUGCAGUCCACUCCUAAGCAUGUUUACUUAGAAAUAUCUACCACUGAGGAGGUUUACUUCCAAAAUAAUUGUAUACAGAAUUGCAGAAUAACCUCCUGUCCAAAAUUCUUUUUUAAAAACUGAUUAGCAAAAUAGUGCUUUAUUCAUGUCUUAUCCAUGUUUUAGAGAAGAAGAAAUUGUGUAAACAAUUGACAGUUGCAUAAAUACAACAGCUUGAAUGAUUAGAGGCUUUUUCACAACGUGGUGUAGAUUCUGUCAACAUUUCUUUCUUCUAAAGCAGUAUUUUUCAAUCUUGCCGAUUUUAAGAUAUAUAGAGUUAUACUCUCACAAUUAUGGCUGCAGAAUUCUGGGAGUUGAAGUCCACACAUCUUAACAUUGCCAAAGUUGAAAAAACACUUUUAGAAAUUAUUGUUUCCAAGUGUUACAAAAUUAUUUUAAAUACUCUUUUCUGCUAGUUCACCCACUCCAUCUUUAACAGAUUUUACUAAUAAAGGUUUGUUUUCACAAACUAAGAAUACCCUUUUAUGCUGUUAGAUCUUUUUUCUCCUCCCUUAUAUCGCACCUUCCUUACGUUGCUUGCCCUCAUCUGACCAUGUGGCAUCGGUGGGAGGGGAAUCAAAGGGGAAAAUUUUGUAUUGGCUUACAAGAUAGUCUCUAGAUUGGAAUUCUACUUUGCAUUGAAUGGGGUGAUCAUGCCAAGUCUAGGGUAAAACUGGACUUUGGUUGUGUUUAUAGCAUGCUGGCCAAAAUAUACCAGAACUGACUGAUACUAUUCAUAAUUAACAAGCAUGGAAAAUGGCAUAUGGUAUGGCUAUAAAAAAAGCUGGUCACCAAGACUCCAGCUCCUUUAUCUUACUAAAAAGCAUUAUGUCAAAACCAAGAAAACUAUAUCAGAGGUCUGUACGCAAUGACUGUGAUAUACAGAUAAUUACCACUAGGAAUGUAAAAGGAAUUUAAGAUAAAAAACUGAAUUCACAAUUUUUUUUAAAAAAAAGAAUUAAAUUAAGAAACGACUGAAUAGAUCUGCAUGAAGAUAUUCUGAUCUUGUGGAAUAGAAUUAAUGAAUAGAUGCAUGGAAGUAAGGAUGUAAAUUUAGUUAUGAAUGAAAGGGCAAAAUUCACAUCAGACAGUACAGUAUAUGUUGCAUCUAGAUUGGUUUGGGUAAAUAUACAGGUAGGAAUUCCUGGAUUGGUAAUAGUUUUUAAGUUAUGUUACAAAUUAAGGUUGAAGUUUGGGAAUGCAACAUUUUGAAUGAAUGCAGUUGGGAUAGGAUGGGAUGGAUUUUUUUAUUUUCUUUUUGUUAAAUAGCAUGAAUGGAAGUUUGGAAAUGAGAGUACAAGUGUGUGUGGGGGGGGGAGGGGAGUGACCAGGAAUGAAUGAGAAUGAUUAUGAAUAACUGGUUGGAAGAAGUACUGUUUGUUUUAAAUACAUGGUUUAAACAUAUGUCCUUUCAUACAAUAAAGGAAAGAAUCUUGAAGCAAGAUGGAAUUGGUUGAUUAUAAUGAAAUGUUGAGAGAAGGUGAUGAGAGGCUGUUGAAUUUGGGACAAACUGCUAUUCAUACAAUCAAAAGAAGAUAGGGGGAGGGGAAUGGGCAUAAAAGGAAAGGAAAAUGAGUACAAAUACUUCUAUAGAACGACUACAAAAAUUUAAAAAAGGUGUGUCUUAUUGAGGAAAAUAGAGAUUAAAUGUUGAGAGGAAGUGCAGGUGAACUUCUUGUUCAGUGACAGUUCCAACUUAUGAUGGCACUGAACAAAUGGUAGAUAUAAACAGACAGCACUGCAUCCCUACAGUCACAUCAUUGUGAUUUGCAACCUCGCCUGCCAGCUUCUCAGAAGCAGAGUCAGUGGAGAAGCUGGAAGGAAGUUGAAGGUUGCAGUCACUUGACGUCCUCGCUUAAUGACUUAUGUGGCCCUUGUUUAAUGAUGGCAGCUGCCAGAACUGUCCUUAAGCAGCAUAAUUAGAUGGUUUUUCAACUUGCAACCAGGUUACUUAACAGUGAAGUUUCUAGUCCAAUUAACUUUGUUAAACUAGGAUUACCUCGAGUAUAGAGGGACACGGAAGCUGCUUGAAGAGAGUGAGGAGAAUCAAACUACAGAAUCCAGUGUAAAAAGU